Molecule: long non-coding RNA, 438 nt
Organism: Apis florea (little honeybee)
Lineage: Eukaryota; Metazoa; Arthropoda; Insecta; Hymenoptera; Apidae
Source: RefSeq, a predicted model, not a curated record
AAUUUAACAAUGGCCGGCAGAAGAACAGCUUCCAACCGAAUUGUCUGUUCCCCCCUCUCGCGAAAGAAAGAUUUACGUCCGGAAACGGCGAAAAUGCCUUCCUGGACUCGUUACGCGAUCGUAAGGUAAACAGGAAGGGGGGGGGGGGGAUCGGCUAAACAAAUCCGAGAAUAACCACGGAGAGACGGGUGAACCGUAAUAAAAUCGAAUCGAUGGCCGCGGAUCGUACGUCACAAAUUAUCCAAUUGGCCGAGACAAAAGAUUUAUUUCUAUCGGCUCCCUUAAUUACGUCACCCUGUAAUCCAAUAACAGUUACUCGACGUUCCAAGUCACGUUAAUCCGUGGAUUUUGCGCCACGAGGGAAGGAUGGAAAUAUUCGAAAAUGGCGCGGUUCGUGCCGGGAGAAACAGGAAAAACGAAAAAAAAUGGAAACAGGGG